UACGGGGGGGGCAAGCGUUGUUCGGAAUUACUGGGCGUAAAGGGCUCGUAGGCGGCCAACUAAGUCGGACGUGAAAUCCCUCAGCUUAACUGGGGAACUGCGUCUGAUACUGGAUGGCUUGGAUUUGGGAGAGGGAUGCGGAAUUCCAGGUGUAGCGGUGAAAUGCGUAGAUAUCUGGAGGAACACCGGUGGCGAAGGCGGCAUCCUGGACCAACAUUGACGCUGAGGAGCGAAAGCCAGGGGAGCAAACGGG
RNAcentral lists this ribosomal RNA (253 nucleotides) under uncultured bacterium. Its description in RNAcentral is "partial 16S ribosomal RNA". It matches the Rfam family "Bacterial small subunit ribosomal RNA", at positions 524 to 776 of the family's 1533-position model. The record is from RNAcentral.